AUGUCAUGGUGUGGGCAUUUCCUCAACAGCUCUUUGAACCUUUCCUACGCGUCAGGAAUAGCUUCAUCAUCCAGUUGUUUGAAAAGACAGAUUCCAUUCCUGCAUUU
Cynara cardunculus var. scolymus (artichoke) is the source of this 107-nucleotide small nucleolar RNA. Lineage: Eukaryota; Viridiplantae; Streptophyta; Magnoliopsida; Asterales; Asteraceae. The record is from RefSeq and is a predicted model, not a curated record.